CACGAGGGUUGCACUGUCUCCUUUUUCUAAUCAGUGAAACUAAUCUCCCCGUGAAGAAGCGAGGAUAUUACUAUAAGACGAGAAGACCCCAUGGAGCUUUAAACCCAACUACAUCCCUAUCCCCAACAACUACUUAACCAAUUGGGUAUUGUAUGCUUGGUUUUAGGUUGGGGCGACCAUGGAGUAAAAAAUAACCUCCACGAUGAAUGGGCUUACCCCCUUAUCUAAGAGCUACACCUCUAAGAAUUAAAAUAUUAAUAUAAAAUGAUCCUUUCUUGAUCAACGGACCAAGUUACCCUGGGGAUAACAGCGCAAUCCAUUUCAAGAGCCCCUAUCGACAAAUGGGUUUACGACCUCGAUGUUGG
RNAcentral lists this ribosomal RNA (365 nucleotides) under Mantidactylus cowanii. RNAcentral describes it as "partial large subunit ribosomal RNA". It matches the Rfam family "Bacterial large subunit ribosomal RNA", at positions 2003 to 2535 of the family's 2925-position model. The record is from RNAcentral. Lineage: Eukaryota; Metazoa; Chordata; Amphibia; Anura; Mantellidae.